This 1003-nucleotide ribosomal RNA is filed under the name uncultured bacterium. RNAcentral's name for it is "bacterial SSU rRNA". It matches the Rfam family "Bacterial small subunit ribosomal RNA", at positions 376 to 1399 of the family's 1533-position model. The record is from RNAcentral.
GGGAACCCUGACGCAGCGGCGCCGCAAGACGGGACGGAGGCCUUCGGGUCGUAAACCGCUUUCAGCAGGGAAGAGUCAAGACUGUACCUGCAGAAGAAGCCCCGGCUAACUACGUGCCAGCAGCCGCGGUAAUACGUAGGGGGCGAGCGUUAUCCGGAUUCAUUGGGCGUAAAGCGCGCGUAGGCGGCCCGGCAGGCCGGGGGUCGAAGCGGGGGGCUCAACCCCCCGAAGCCCCCGGAACCUCCGCGGCUUGGGUCCGGUAGGGGAGGGUGGAACACCCGGUGUAGCGGUGGAAUGCGCAGAUAUCGGGUGGAACACCGGUGGCGAAGGCGGCCCUCUGGGCCGAGACCGACGCUGAGGCGCGAAAGCUGGGGGAGCGAACAGGAUUAGAUACCCUGGUAGUCCCAGCCGUAAACGAUGGACGCUAGGUGUGGGGGGGACGAUCCCCCCGUGCCGCAGCCAACGCAUUAAGCGUCCCGCCUGGGGAGUACGGCCGCAAGGCUAAAACUCAAAGGAAUUGACGGGGGCCCGCACAAGCAGCGGAGCAUGUGGCUUAAUUCGAAGCAACGCGAAGAACCUUACCAGGGCUUGACAUAUGGGUGAAGCGGGGGAGACCCCGUGGCCGAGAGGAGCCCAUACAGGUGGUGCAUGGCUGUCGUCAGCUUGUGUCGUGAGAUGUUGGGUUAAGUCCCGCAACGAGCGCAACCCCCGCCGCGUGUUGCCAUCGGGUGAUGCCGGGAACCCACGCGGGACCGCCGCCGUCAAGGCGGGGGAGGGCGGGGACGACGUCAGGUCAUCAUGCCCCUUAUGCCCUGGGCUGCACACGUGCUACAAUGGCCGGUACAGAGGGAUGCCACCCCGCGAGGGGGAGCGGAUCCCGGAAAGCCGGCCCCAGUUCGGAUUGGGGGCUGCAACCCGCCCCCAUGAAGUCGGAGUUGCUAGUAAUCGCGGAUCAGCAUGCCGCGGUGAAUGCGAAACCGGGCCUUGCACACACCGCCCGUCA